RNAcentral lists this ribosomal RNA (1770 nucleotides) under Trioxys cirsii. Its description in RNAcentral is "SSU rRNA". It matches the Rfam family "Eukaryotic small subunit ribosomal RNA". The record is from RNAcentral. Lineage: Eukaryota; Metazoa; Arthropoda; Insecta; Hymenoptera; Braconidae.
AGAUCGUACCCACAUUUACUUGGAUAACUGUGGUAAUUCUAGAGCUAAUACAUGCAAACUCGAGUUCCAACCAGAGAUGGAAGGAACGCUUUUAUUAGAUCAAAACCAAUCGGUGGCAAUUAGCUUUCUACUAAUUGUCCAUCGUUAAUUUUGGUGACUCUGAAUAACUUUGUGCUGAUCGCAUGGUCUUAGUGCUGGCGACAUAUCUUUCAAAUGUCUGCCUUAUCAACUGUCGAUGGUAGAUUCUAUGCCUACUAUGGUUGUUACGGGUAACGGGGCAAUCAGGGUUCGAUUCCGGAGAGGGAGCCUGAGAAACGGCUACCACAUCCAAGGAAGGCAGCAGGCGCGCAAAUUACCCACUCUCGGCACGAGGAGGUAGUGACAAAAAAUAACGAUACGGGACUCAUCCGAGGCCCCGUAAUCGGAAUGAGUACACUUUAAAUCCUUUAACGAGGAUCAAUUGGAGGGCAAGUCUGGUGCCAGCAGCCGCGGUAAUUCCAGCUCCAAUAGCGUAUAUUAAAGUUGUUGCGGUUAAAAAGCUCGUAGUUGAAUUUGUGUCUUCAUGUUGUUAGUUCAUCGCUCGCGGUGUUUAAUUAGCAUUACAUGAGACGUCCUAUCGGUGGAUUUAGCUUUGUGUUAAAGCAAAGCGAUCCAAUCAAUAUCCUGUCGCGGUGCUCUUUACUGAGUGUCGAGAUGGGCCGAUACGUUUACUUUGAACAAAUUAGAGUGCUUAAAGCAGGCUUUUUUUGCCUGAAUACUGUGUGCAUGGAAUAAUAGAAUAGGACCUCGUUUCUAUUUGGUUGGUUUUCGGAAUUCCGAGGUAAUGAUUAAUAGGGACAGAUGGGGGCAUUGGUAUUGCGACGUUAGAGGUGAAAUUCUUGGAUCGUCGCAAGACGAACAGAAGCGAAAGCAUUUGCCAAGGACGUUUUCAUUAAUCAAGAACGAAAGUUAGAGGUUCGAAGGCGAUCAGAUACCGCCCUAGUUCUAACCAUAAACGAUGCCAGCUAGCGAUCCGCCGAAGUUCCUCCGAUGACUCGGCGGGCAGCUUCCGGGAAACCAAAGCUUUUGGGUUCCGGGGGAAGUAUGGUUGCAAAGCUGAAACUUAAAGGAAUUGACGGAAGGGCACCACCAGGAGUGGAGCCUGCGGCUUAAUUUGACUCAACACGGGAAAUCUCACCAGGCCCGGACACCGGAAGGAUUGACAGAUUGAUAGCUCUUUCUUGAUUCGGUGGGUGGUGGUGCAUGGCCGUUCUUAGUUGGUGGAGCGAUUUGUCUGGUUAAUUCCGAUAACGAACGAGACUCUAGCCUGCUAAAUAGGCGUAUAUUCUGGUAUCUCGAAAGACUUUGAUAUUUUUCGGAAUAUAUAGUUUUACUACCGACGUACAAUAAAAUCUUCUUAGAGGACAGGCGACUUCCUAGUCGCACGAGAUUGAGCAAUAACAGGUCUGUGAUGCCCUUAGAUGUUCUGGGCCGCACGCGCGCUACACUGAAGGAAUCAACGUGUUUUUCUUUGGCCGAAGGGCCCGGGUAACCCGCUGAACCUCCUUCGUGCUAGGGAUUGGGGCUUGAAAUUAUUCCCCAUGAACGAGGAAUUCCCAGUAAGUGCGAGUCAUAAGCUCGCAUUGAUUACGUCCCUGCCCUUUGUACACACCGCCCGUCGGUACUACCGAUUGAAUGAUUUAGUGAGGUCUUCGGACUGGAACGCGGCAAUGUUUCGGCAUUGCCGAUGUUGUUAGGAAGAUGACCAAACUUGAUCAUUUAGAGGAAGUA